UAGGUCUCAGUUCAGAUUGCAGGCUGCAACCCGCCUGCAUGAGGUCGGAAUUGCUAGUAAUCGCGGAUCAGCAUGCCGCGGUGAAUACGUUCCCGGGCCUUGUACACACCGCCCGUCACACCAUGGGAGCCGGUAAUACCCGAAGUCAGUAGUCCAACCUCGUGAGGACGCUGCCGAAGGUAGGAUUGGCGACUGGGGUGAAGUCGUAACAAGGUAAC
This 218-nucleotide ribosomal RNA is filed under the name uncultured bacterium. RNAcentral's name for it is "partial 16S ribosomal RNA". It matches the Rfam family "Bacterial small subunit ribosomal RNA", at positions 1282 to 1500 of the family's 1533-position model. The record is from RNAcentral.